GAUGAACGCUGGCGGCGUGCCUAAUACAUGCAAGUCGAGCGAACAGAUAAGGAGCUUGCUCCUUUGACGUUAGCGGCGGACGGGUGAGUAACACGUGGGUAACCUACCUAUAAGACUGGAAUAACUCCGGGAAACCGGGGCUAAUGCCGGAUAACAUUUAGAACCGCAUGGUUCUAAAGUGAAAGAUGGUUUUGCUAUCACUUAUAGAUGGACCCGCGCCGUAUUAGCUAGUUGGUAAGGUAACGGCUUACCAAGGCAACGAUACGUAGCCGACCUGAGAGGGGGGCGGCCCAACCUGAAAGUGGAAACGGGCCCAAACCCCACGGGGAGGAAGAGGUGGGGAUCUGCCGGCAAGGGGCGAAACCCAGAGGGGGCAACGCGGGGGGGGGGAGGAAGGUCUUGGGAUCUAAAAACUUUUUUAUGGGGGAAAAAAAAUUGUGUAAGUAACUGUGCAGUUUUUGACGGUACCAAAUAAAAAAGCCCCGGCAAACUACG
This 495-nucleotide ribosomal RNA is filed under the name uncultured bacterium. RNAcentral's name for it is "partial 16S ribosomal RNA". It matches the Rfam family "Bacterial small subunit ribosomal RNA", at positions 28 to 505 of the family's 1533-position model. The record is from RNAcentral.